ACAGCUUCUUUAGAAAAUAAACACCAAAACGUCAAGAUGGCCCCACGGUCCGUAAUCAAGGGUGUGCUGCUCGUGUCUUUUUCGGUUUUCCUCACACUCGUGUUGGGUGUCGGUCUCCCUGCGCUGCUCAACGCCCUGAUGAGGCUGUUGGGUUUACCGGAGACGAGCGUCAGCGAGUGCAUAGUUCUGCUGUAUUUGUGUUUCGUACUUUGUGUUGCGACGCCUCGAGUUCCAAGAGGAUUUGAGAAGGUCAAUGGAAAAGCUGUGUUAAUCACAGGCUGUGACACUGGGAUCGGCUACGCUCUGGCCAAACAUCUGCACCAACUGGGCUUCACCGUAUUUGCUGGGUGUCUGCACAAGGAUGAAGGUGGCGAAGGUGCCAAGGACCUGGAGACGCUGCAUUCAGAUCGAAUGAAGGUGUUGCAGCUGGACGUCUGCAGUGAGGAGCAGGUGAACCAGGCUGUCGACUACGUCAGGGAAAACCUGGAGGACUCUGAAAGAGGUCUGUGGGCCGUGGUGAACAACGCUGGCAUAUCGACGUUUGGAGAAGUGGAGUUCACUGCCAUGGACACCUACAAGCAGGUAUCAGAGGUCAACCUGUGGGGCACCGUCAGGGUCACCAAGGCUGUUCUGCCACUGAUCCGCAGAGCCAAAGGUCGUGUUGUGAACGUGAGCAGCCUGUUUGGCCGGAUUGGAAACCCCGCACGUUCCUCCUACUGCGUGUCCAAAUACGGCUUAGAGGCUUUCUCCGACUGCCUGCGUUAUGAGAUGAAGACGUGGGGAGUCAAAGUGUCCAUCGUCGAACCGGGAAACUUCUUGGCCGCCACCGGCAUCCUUACACGUGACACUGUGGCCGCCAUGGCCAACAGGCUGUGGAGCGAGGCCUCCGCCGUUGUGAAGGAGGAUUAUGGGAAAGCACACUUUGAGCGACAGGUGGCUGCGGUGCGCUCUCACUGUGGCAGCGGGGACAAAGAUGUGGCCCCCGUUCUGGAUGACAUCACAGACGCCAUCAUGUCCAAACGUCCUUACACACGAGCUCACUGCUGGAGCGGCCUGCGGCCAAUCGGUGCUAACUAACCUUCAACGUCCAACAGCUACCUGGUCCGUCCUCUCUCUCAACAAACAGCCUUUCACUCCAGACUUUACUGUAAAUAUGAACCAUAUGUUUCUCUCUGACUCCACAGGAUGUGCAUUAGGGCCCGUGUUUCUCCAUCUAGGAGACUUCAGCUAAGCCUUUUCCCAAAUAAAUGUUCUGAUUUUUCCCCCCAGCUAAAGUCAAACAUAAGGAAUUGCUUCCUGAAAAUCCUCUGUGGCGGCUGGAGGAAGAGGGUGUGUCUCAGUUUGAUGUAUAUGAGGAAGGCAACCACGGAAACACGACCGCUGGGCGACCUUUUACUCCCUCGUUCCCUCCUGAUCACUAAUACAGAAUUGGUGACCUCACCCACUGGACUGCCUCGACAUCCCAGACCUGUCGUGGUGUGAGGCCUUUUUUCCUGCCUGCAUGCAAAUGUUGCAGAGUUCCCACUGAUUCUGGAGCCUCGGCCUCUGAACAUUCACAGUAAGUAAGGUUUGUCACUUUUUAUCUUAAAAUCUAAAAAACAAACACGAUUCUGGGGGUUGAAGUCUGAAAUAUCCACAGGGCUGUCUAAAGUAUUUCUGAUCCAACAAAGUCCUCAGAUGAACUAAACAGGACAAGAUGCUAGUUUGUUGUACACUGUCAGCAAGAAUAACUAGAAUGACUGUGAACCUUUAACGAAACAGCUUUAGAAGACACCUGCCCUGAGAUAUUAUGUCAUUUUGUUGUUAGGAAGCAAGCUAAACCAUCCUCAUGGAUGGAAAUAAAAAUUUACAUCAACUUCUUUUAAAAAAAAGGCAAAUUACAAGUUACAAACCCCCCCUCACC
Cynoglossus semilaevis (tongue sole) is the source of this 1903-nucleotide RNA transcript. It is a transcript of the gene named 3-hydroxybutyrate dehydrogenase, type 1, with no coding region annotated. NCBI's taxonomy places the organism in Eukaryota, Metazoa, Chordata, Actinopteri, Pleuronectiformes, Cynoglossidae. The record is from RefSeq and is a predicted model, not a curated record. The transcript is spliced from 7 exons.